GAAGGCAAGUUUAAAUUUGCCCGGCAAAAGUCGAAGCUUGCUGGCACCAUUCGGGGGUCUUUUUUCGUCAUCAAGGGCAGCCAUUGAAAAAAGACAACUUUU
Molecule: ribosomal RNA, 102 nt
Filed under: Lacticaseibacillus paracasei
Lineage: Bacteria; Bacillati; Bacillota; Bacilli; Lactobacillales; Lactobacillaceae
Source: RNAcentral